RNAcentral lists this ribosomal RNA (520 nucleotides) under uncultured Glomus. RNAcentral describes it as "SSU rRNA". It matches the Rfam family "Eukaryotic small subunit ribosomal RNA", at positions 569 to 1087 of the family's 1831-position model. Lineage: Eukaryota; Fungi; Glomeromycota; Glomeromycetes; Glomerales; Glomeraceae. The record is from RNAcentral.
AGCAGCCGCGGUAAUUCCAGCUCCAAUAGCGUAUAUUAAAGUUGUUGCAGUUAAAAAGCUCGUAGUUGAAUUUCGGGAUCAAUCUGCCGGUCGUGCCUCCGGUAUGCACUGGUUUUAUUGGUUUCUCCCUUCUGACGAAUCAUGAUGUCAUUAAUUUGGUGUCAUGGGGAAUCAGGACUGUUACUUUGAAAAAAAUUAGAGUGUUUAAAGCAGGCUCACGCUUGAAUACAUUAGCAUGGAAUAAUGAAAUAGGACGUUUGACCCUAUUUUGUUGGUUUCUAGGAUCGACGUAAUGAUUAAUAGGGAUAGUUGGGGGGCAUUAGUAUUCAAUUGUCAGAGGUGAAAUUCUUGGAUUUAUUGAAGACUAACUACUGCGAAAGCAUUUGCCAAGGAUGUUUUCAUUAAUCAAGAACGAAAGUUAGGGGAUCGAAGACGAUCAGAUACCGUCGUAGUCUUAACCAUAAACUAUGCCGACUAGGGAUCGGAUGAUGUUAAUUUUUUUAAUGACUCAUUCGGCGCC